Molecule: ribosomal RNA, 253 nt
Filed under: uncultured bacterium
Lineage: Bacteria
Description: partial 16S ribosomal RNA
Rfam family: Bacterial small subunit ribosomal RNA
Source: RNAcentral
UACGGGGGGCGCAAGCGUUGUUCGGAUUUACUGGGCGUAAAGGGCGCGUAGGCGGCGUGACAAGUCACUUGUGAAAUCUCUGAGCUUAACUCAGAACGGCCAAGUGAAACUGUUGUGCUAGAGUGCAGAAGGGGCAAUCGGAAUUCUUGGUGUAGCGGUGAAAUGCGUAGAUAUCAAGAGGAACACCUGAGGUGAAGACGGGUUGCUGGGCUGACACUGACGCUGAGGCGCGAAAGCCAGGGGAGCAAACGGG